AGUGAACGCUGGCGGUAGGCCUAACACAUGCAAGUCGAACGGAGUGGCGGACGGGUGAGUAAUGCCUAGGAAACUGCCUGGUAGAGGGGGAUAACGACCGGAAACGGGAGCUAAUACCGCAUACUAUCAGAUGAGCCUAGGUGGGAUUAGCUAGUUGGUGGGGUAACGGCUUACCAAGGCGACGAUCCGUAGCUGGUCUGAGAGGAUGAUCAGUCACACUGGAACUGAGACACGGUCCAGACUCCUACGGGAGGCAGCAGUGGGGAAUAUUGGACAAUGGGCGAAAGCCUGAUCCAGCCAUGCCGCGUGUGUGAAGAAGGUCUUCGGAUUGUAAAGUACUUUAAGUUGGGAGGCGUUACCCGCAGAAUAAGCACCGGCUAACUCCGUGCCAGCAGCCGCGGUAAUAC
Molecule: ribosomal RNA, 407 nt
Filed under: uncultured bacterium
Lineage: Bacteria
Description: partial 16S ribosomal RNA
Rfam family: Bacterial small subunit ribosomal RNA
Source: RNAcentral